UUGCCCCCUUCUCUCUUUUCUUUUUUCUUUUUCUUUUUAUUUCUUUCUCUUUUUAUUUUUAUUUUUUGUGGUCUCUUUGGCUCUUUCUAUUUUUCCUCUUUGGGAUCUUUUCAUGUGUCCUCUUUUGGGAUCUUUUAAUUUGUCCUCUUUGGGAUCUUUUCCUCACUUAAGGGCAACACUCUAUGUUUUACAAGAAUAAAAAUAAGAUCUUCACACUUUAUAAGAAGUACUCAACGUAAAGACAAAUGAAAACUAUCAUGAUGUAUGCAAAUGUAUGCCUCUGCGAGUGUAGCAGGAUAUGCAAUGAUACUAG
This 313-nucleotide long non-coding RNA is filed under the name Hordeum vulgare. RNAcentral describes it as "long non-coding RNA (HVUL_LNC009803)". The record is from RNAcentral. Lineage: Eukaryota; Viridiplantae; Streptophyta; Magnoliopsida; Poales; Poaceae.